This 404-nucleotide unclassified non-coding RNA is filed under the name soil metagenome. RNAcentral's name for it is "partial contains 5.8S ribosomal RNA, internal transcribed spacer 2, and large subunit ribosomal RNA". The stretch from base 1 to 122 matches the Rfam family "5.8S ribosomal RNA", at positions 35 to 154 of the family's 154-position model. The record is from RNAcentral.
GAUGAAGAACGUAGCAAAAUGCGAUACUUGGUGUGAAUUGCAGAAUCCCGUGAACCAUCGAGUUUUUGAACGCAAGUUGCGCCCGAAGCCUUUUGGCCGAGGGCACGUCUGCCUGGGCGUCACGCAUCGCGUCGCCCCCCACAAUUCUCCGUAAAGGGAACAUGUGUUUUGGGGGCGGAUAUUGGUCUCCCGUGCUCAUGGCGUGGUUGGCCGAAAUAGGAGUCCUUUCGAUGGACGCACGAACUAGUGGUGGUCGUAAAAACCCUCGUCUUUUGUUUCGUGCUGUUGCUCGCAAGGUAAACUCUUUAAAAACCCCAAUGUGUCGUCUCUUGACGACGCUUCGACCGCGACCCCAGGUCAGGCGGGACUACCCGCUAAGUUUAAGCAUAUCAAUAAGCGGAGGA